This is a long non-coding RNA of Coffea arabica (coffee), 694 nucleotides long. RefSeq lists it as uncharacterized. Lineage: Eukaryota; Viridiplantae; Streptophyta; Magnoliopsida; Gentianales; Rubiaceae. The record is from RefSeq and is a predicted model, not a curated record.
CCCAUGGCCAUGGAGUACUUCGCUAUAGGUUGAUUAGCGGUGACCAGAACGUUAAGGGUCUGGCCAGGUCCAAGCAUAACGUGGUCGGUGGUGAAGGGCUUUGUGUACUCAGCAUCGGCUUCGACUAUUGUUAAUUUGUGAUUUGCAAUGGCAAAGAAGUGCUCCGUGUUCAGUGAUGCGCUGAUUAACCUCAACAGGACGCUGUUCAAGAAAGCAUGCAAGAGGAGAAUUUAGGUUAUGGCAAAUGUGAAACAUUCAGCUAGUUGAUUUAGCUGGCGGUUAUGCUGCUCCAAAAGAGCAUCACUGUGUGCUACUGUCAUUUAUGACAAAGGGGAUACCCAAAAAGAAGAAGAAAUAAAAAGUGUGGCCUUUGUUUUGCUUUUGUUCAACACCCUUUUACUCCAUGCACAAACAGAGAGAUGUGCACGCCUUGGCAAUUCCCUACCUUUUCCAGGGCCAUAAUAAGCUAGGAAAGACCUAUUCAUUCUGUCCACCGGAACAUCACAGGUGGUGGUAGCCAGUACUUAACUGCUAGAAUCCGUUUAUUGUUACUUUUGUUCAUUUGGUACCCUGUGCUUAAAUUAAAGCAGCAGCCUACUUGACUAUUAAUGAACAAUUUAAUCCGUGGUGAUCAGGAUGGAAUGUCAAUUUUUUUUUUUUCAGUAAUGCCAACUACAGAAUAAAAUUUCAAUUG